UGGAAGACUAGUGAUUUUGUUGUUUUAUUGGAAACAAACAAGAAAUCACUAUCUUCCAAC
RNAcentral lists this microRNA precursor (60 nucleotides) under Centruroides sculpturatus (bark scorpion). Lineage: Eukaryota; Metazoa; Arthropoda; Arachnida; Scorpiones; Buthidae. The record is from RNAcentral.